AACGAACGCUGGCGGCAUGCCUAACACAUGCAAGUCGAACGAAACCUUCGGGUCUAGUGGCGCACGCGUGCGUAAAGCGUGGGAACAUGCCUUUAGGUUCGGAAUAACUCCCCGGAAAGGGUGCUAAUACCGGAUAAUGUCUUCCGAACAAAGAUUUAUUGACUUUGGUGGGGCCGGAGAUGGCUCGGCUAGUGGGUAGGGUAAAAGGGUACAACGGCGACGAUGCAUAGCUGGUCUGAGAGGAUGAUCCGCCACACUGGUACUGAGACACGGCCCAGACUCCUACGGGAGGCAGGAGUGGGGAAUAUAGGACAAUGGGGGAAAGCCUGAUCCAGCAAUGCCGGGUGAGUGAUGAAGGUCUUAGGGUUGUACAGCUCGUUUACACGGGAUGAUAAUGACAGUACCGGGAGAAUAAGCACCGGCUAACUCCGUG
This 433-nucleotide ribosomal RNA is filed under the name uncultured bacterium. RNAcentral's name for it is "partial 16S ribosomal RNA". It matches the Rfam family "Bacterial small subunit ribosomal RNA", at positions 29 to 507 of the family's 1533-position model. The record is from RNAcentral.